GGGUAAGCAGAUCCUGCUCCACAUGUGGCACCCGCCGUGUUGCUUAUGUGAUAACAAAUCCGGUAAAUAGUCUAAUUCGGUAGGUCACAUUCAUGAAAGGGAAGGGGAUUGUAGUUACGACGUAAGGAACAUAUCCGAUAUCAUUUGUGAAACGGUUAUUCCAUAACGGUCAACCAACUCAUGAUGGCGUCCGUAAAAUUUACGAAGGGAUGAUUUCAACGUCAUCAUUUGGAACUCUUGGUUUAAUAGCUUCCUUGUGAGCAGCAACCCUCUAUCAAGAAAAUAAUGAUAGGAAAUGCAAGCACGGGAAUAUCGUAUCAAUUGGGAGAUAUAUACCCCGUAUGCAGGUGCUGCUGGAAUGUUGCUACUUAGAAAUUGAAAGUUCACAAUUG
RNAcentral lists this long non-coding RNA (392 nucleotides) under Mytilus galloprovincialis (Mediterranean mussel). The record is from RNAcentral. Lineage: Eukaryota; Metazoa; Mollusca; Bivalvia; Mytilida; Mytilidae.